Molecule: unclassified non-coding RNA, 507 nt
Filed under: Hevea brasiliensis (rubber tree)
Lineage: Eukaryota; Viridiplantae; Streptophyta; Magnoliopsida; Malpighiales; Euphorbiaceae
Source: RNAcentral
AACAAACUUUGCAACAUGAUAAUCCUCCAUUGGAUGAUUUGCUUUCCCUUUUACUAGGCUAAAGCCAUAUUUAGCAGGGCCCUGAUGGCUCCUGCCCUUGCCAGAGCUACAUGAAGAUCGUCCUCCUACAACCUGAUUAAAGACAGAAUUGAAGCAACAUAAAUUACCCAUAUAAUUCAGCCCCACCUUAUAGCCUCUCUCUUCCUCUCAACAUCUACUUCUCUUUCUAACCUCAAAAGAUUCAAAACCCAACAAAACCCCACCUCACAAGAUCAAUAAUUCCACGAAUUGCGCCAUCGAAAACAACGAUUAUGAUAAUCUGAACUAUAAGGGCCAACUCUAAAACCACACAAAAAUCCAAGAAAUGUCAAAACAAAAGAGAAUCAUCAACUGGGUAUUCAAGAAAUUCUCGUACCAAUCCACCAAUCACCCAAUUCUACAAGAAACCAAGUGAAAGAAAGAUAAAGAGUUGCCCACCGCCCAGGACUUGAAUUGCCAAUUCUCGAG